This 276-nucleotide ribosomal RNA is filed under the name uncultured prokaryote. RNAcentral describes it as "partial 16S ribosomal RNA". It matches the Rfam family "Bacterial small subunit ribosomal RNA", at positions 524 to 801 of the family's 1533-position model. The record is from RNAcentral.
UACGUAGGUGGCGAGCGUUGUCCGGAAUUACUGGGUGUAAAGGGAGCGUAGGCGGGAGUGCAAGUUGAAUGUUAAAUCUAUCGGCUCAACCGAUAGCCGCGUUCAAAACUGCAUUUCUUGAGUGAAGUAGAGGUUGGCGGAAUUCCUAGUGUAGCGGUGAAAUGCGUAGAUAUUAGGAGGAACACCAGUGGCGAAGGCGGCCAACUGGGCUUUACUGACGCUGAGGCUCGAAAGCGUGGGGAGCAAACAGGAUUAGAUACCCCCGUAGUCCCUGAG